UUUUACAAUGGAGAGUUUGAUCCUGGCUCAGGAUGAACGCUAGCUAUAGGCUUAACACAUGCAAGUCGAGGGGAAACGGCAUU
RNAcentral lists this ribosomal RNA (83 nucleotides) under Prevotella brunnea. RNAcentral's name for it is "partial 16S ribosomal RNA". It matches the Rfam family "Bacterial small subunit ribosomal RNA", at positions 1 to 79 of the family's 1533-position model. Lineage: Bacteria; Pseudomonadati; Bacteroidota; Bacteroidia; Bacteroidales; Prevotellaceae. The record is from RNAcentral.